Molecule: unclassified non-coding RNA, 212 nt
Filed under: Hevea brasiliensis (rubber tree)
Lineage: Eukaryota; Viridiplantae; Streptophyta; Magnoliopsida; Malpighiales; Euphorbiaceae
Source: RNAcentral
GCAAAUCAAAUCCGCUCUGCGGUAUAGGAAGGAUAAUGUGAUUAAUAGUCUUGUAAAAAGACAAUAUUUUUCGACUAAUAUAAGUCAUGGCUGUAUAUGCAAACUUUCUUAUAAUGGUGGUAUUACUAGACAUAGCCAACCAUAUUACAUGUUGUCCAGAGCCAUGUUUGCCGGUGUAGCUACAGUUAGUAAUGGAGUGGAGACCAGAGGCG